Haplochromis burtoni (Burton's mouthbrooder) is the source of this 2917-nucleotide long non-coding RNA. RefSeq lists it as uncharacterized. Lineage: Eukaryota; Metazoa; Chordata; Actinopteri; Cichliformes; Cichlidae. The transcript is spliced from 3 exons. The record is from RefSeq and is a predicted model, not a curated record.
GAACUUAAAUCCCAAAUCUCUCUUUUUCAGUUAAACCCAGCGCUGUACCACCCAACAGCCAAUCCACCACCCCACACUGUACACAGAGUUCACAGGCCAUCAGAUAUGAAUAGACGCUAUAAUUUGCUGGCAUUUCCUCAUGGAGACCAUUUGAUUAGAAAGAAAGAGGAGGGGUGAACACAAGAAAGGACAAAGGACGCUCUGAGGGCCUGAGGGGUGCGGUCAGUAGAGGAUACCAAUAAAGAAAAGGGACAGAACGUGAAGAAAGAUUAAGGCAGUUCAAAACUGAAUGGACACGGCAACCAGCUGGAGCAAGAGACUGCAGACAGAGAGCCACUGCUGUGUGACCAAACUUUUACUGCAUUUAACUGCAGGUCCCUCAACUUUGGAGGAAGUUCUGAAGCAACAAAAGGCUGCUAAGGUGGCAUCCUAUCACGGAACCACGAAGGAAGUAAAUGAGCUCCUGAGAGCGACCCAUUCUUUCACAAAUGGUUGAUUUUAUACACCCACGGUGAUGGAAGUGACUGGAACACCUGAAAUAAAUCACUUGGAUUGGUGAGUGAGUACUUUUCAGUACCUUUAGUCUUAUUUGUACUCAUCGAAUCUUAUCACCAGUUUGUUUGCAUGACAUUAUGAUACCGCCACUUUGCUUCCAGGAAAAACUUCAAAAGGCCAGCUGCUGUGUGUGAUUUAUUUAUUUAUUUAAACGAAGCAUGUCUAAUUCUGCACGUAAGAUAAAGAUACAGUUUCCAUGGAGCAACUUCAACCUUGCUUAUUUUAAAUAAUUAAAUAUUACAAAACAUUAAACAAUCUGAAAAAGGUCAAUGAUCUUAAACUUUAAACAUAAGAUGAAAACUCACCCACUCACACAAAUUCUACUCCCUCAUUUAGAUGCUUUUAAAGCUCUGCACAUAAUUUCUGCCCCCUCAUAAACACUUGCCUUUGAUGUUCCUUAGCACCCUCAAAGGCUCUCAUGGCUGUCUGAUCUGUGACAGCACAACACUAACCUCUACAAACUGAUAUCUACAUAUGAAUGCACAUAAUCUGGAGUCAACCAGACCAGAAGCUUAUCCUGCACUUAGUCUCACGAGUUUUGACCGAUCAUGUCUGAGCAGGCUUUGACUAAAUGCUGUUUGUGUAUCUAACAUGCAAAUCAUGAAAACAUCUGCUCUCAUACAACUGUUUAAAACAUAUCUGUAAAGGUGGACUGUACUGGAAACUGAGCCUGGAUAUCACUUAUCUGGAUAUUUGCUGGCUAAGAUUCUCUCAUUUCUCACACAAAGACACCUUACAACACACAUCUUAAAACUGCGUCAGCUGUGAGUAAAGCCCUGUUUCCUAAGAAAGAAAAUUAGAGCUUGAGGAAAGAGAAAUGUAAGAAGCAAGUCUGACUAAGUGUGGAGGAAGAAAGUCAGACGGAGGAAGAAAAACAGGAAGGAAGUAAAGAUGGUGAAAUGAGAGGAAAUAACCUGGUAGAAAGUCAGGAAACGCUGACAUGUGCAAGAGUGUGUGCAGCAGUCUGACGCACCUAUGCUGUUGGUGACUGAGAUUUGUUAAUGGUGGACAUCCCACGCCUGACAUCUCAAGAAAGUCUGUGUUGCUUGGCAACACUCCAGACCUCUCUCUACAGCAUCUCUUGUCUUUCCUGCAUUUCAUCAUUACCUGUCUCCCUUUUCUUUUGCUUUCAAGGUUGUCGCAAAUGAGUUCUGUAACUUAAUUUUUAAAAAGGUGACGCUGCAAAGGAAAGCCCCGCACAUGCUUUGGCGUCAAGCUGCGUUCACAUGGAGAUGGUCAGUGGAAACCUGUAGCUAGUAACGACAAUUCUCAACAGGGGAAACUUCGUAAUGAGGGAGUGAGUGCAGUCAUGUGUGCACAAAAAACACGCAUGUGACAGGCAGCAAGGAUAUGCUAAAUUCAUUACCUCGGGCCACAAAGGUACAAGGUACAGACACACAAAUAUGUAUAGACACACAAAUAUUAAAACAUAGGCAAACUUUAUUUCGUGCUUGCUUAAGACGUGCAGUCUUGCACAAACAUAGAAAAAUAAAUAAAAUGUCCGCAGCUGCCAUUUAAUAAAGGUACAUAUUUACUUUGCUGUUUUUGUUUCAGGGUAUGACUUCACGUCAGAUGGCUAUUUUGGAAGCUGUGAAUUGUGGGCCUGUUGAAAUACUUCAAGCAAGUUUUGACAUUAGACAUCCAUCUCCGUAAUGCUACAGGGCAGCUUUUCUUAUUCCACUACUCAUGAACCUUCAUCCAACACAAUGGACUGGCAGCUGCUGGGACUGGAUGUGUUAUGAGAAGUAGGGGUGGGUUUACCGAUUAAAAUUGGUUAGGUUAAACCUCACAAAAUUUCAACAACCACCAAACAACUAAAACUGUAAAUGAGAGCAGGUACAUGGAUUCUGCACAAAUUCGUAAACAUAGAGCACGGACCCGCCGACGCAUCAGAAUUGGUGAGAUGUCAGCUUUCUAUGUUUACGUCUUUUUUUUUUUUUACGCUAGAUUCUGACGCUGCAGGUUUCAUCAUCCUCCAACUGAACCAUCAGCAAAAGAAGAUCCAAACUAAGCUUCACCUUUCGCUUCACGUAAACAUCGUCAUGAAUUCCCUCUUACUUUUGCUGUUUUGCUUCCACCAUGAUAAAAUGACACGUCAUGCACAGCUCUCCCUCUCUCUCAGUGUACUUCAAGAAGAGUGUCACAUCUAAAAAUCUCUGUUUUCUGCAUUAUCCACUUUCUUAUUACGCACCAGUCUACCACUGUGUACAGCGCUGUCGGCCGCGGUUUGUUUUUAAUUUUUUUAAUUUAACUAACUUACAACAAGAAAGUCUAAGUUCUGCUGCUGAAGAAAUGUAAACUUUUUAAAAUAUGCGAAAUUGCAAAAUGCUUAGCUGUGUCUCUAAUUAAACCUCUGUAACUU